RNAcentral lists this ribosomal RNA (527 nucleotides) under uncultured fungus. RNAcentral's name for it is "eukaryotic LSU rRNA". The stretch from base 164 to 317 matches the Rfam family "5.8S ribosomal RNA". The record is from RNAcentral. Lineage: Eukaryota; Fungi.
UACCGAGUUUUCACUCCCAAACCCUUAUGUGAACCUACCUAUCGUUGCUUCGGCGGACUCGCCCCAGCCGGACGCGGACUGGACCAGCGGCCGCCGGGGACCAUCAAACUCUUGUAUUAUCAGCAUCUUCUGAAUACGCCGCAAGGCAAAACAAAUAAAUUAAAACUUUCAACAACGGAUCUCUUGGCUCUGGCAUCGAUGAAGAACGCAGCGAAAUGCGAUAAGUAAUGUGAAUUGCAGAAUCCAGUGAAUCAUCGAAUCUUUGAACGCACAUUGCGCCCGCCAGCAUUCUGGCGGGCAUGCCUGUUCGAGCGUCAUUUCAACCCUCGACCUCCCUUUGGGGAAGUCGGCGUUGGGGACCGGCAGCACACCGCCGGCCCUGAAAUGGAGUGGCGGCCCGUCCGCGGCGACCUCUGCGUAGUAAACCAACUCGCACCGGAACCCCGACGUGGCCACGCCGUANAACACCCAACUUCUGAACGUUGACCUCGAAUCAGGUAGGACUACCCGCUGAACUUAAGCAUAUC